Molecule: ribosomal RNA, 72 nt
Filed under: Pseudosperma rimosum
Lineage: Eukaryota; Fungi; Basidiomycota; Agaricomycetes; Agaricales; Inocybaceae
Description: partial 18S ribosomal RNA
Source: RNAcentral
UCAUCCUGGUCAUGUAGAGGUAGUAAUCAGUCGUAACGAGGUUUCACUAGGUGAACCUCGGAAGGAUCAUUA